This 810-nucleotide ribosomal RNA is filed under the name uncultured bacterium. Its description in RNAcentral is "bacterial SSU rRNA". It matches the Rfam family "Bacterial small subunit ribosomal RNA", at positions 8 to 796 of the family's 1533-position model. The record is from RNAcentral.
AGAGUUUGAUCCUGGCUCAGAACGAACGCUGGCGGCGUGGAUAAGACAUGCAAGUCGAACGAGAUUUUUUCGUGUAGCAAUACAGGGAAAAGUCUAGUGGCGAACGGGUGCGUAACACGUGGGCAAUCUGCCUUAAAGUGGGGGAUAGCUCGGCGAAAGCCGAAUUAAUACCGCAUGUGAUCAGAGGGGACAUCCCUUCGAAAUCAAAGUCGGGGCAACCUGACGCUUUUUGAGGAGCCCGCGGCCUAUCAGCUAGUUGGUGAGGUAAUGGCUCACCAAGGCUCUGACGGGUAGCUGGUCUGAGAGGACGACCAGUCACACUGGAACUGAGACACGGUCCAGACACCUACGGGUGGCAGCAGUCGAGAAUUUUUCUCAAUGGGGGAAACCCUGAAGGAGCGACGCCGCGUGGAGGAUGAAGGUCUUCGGGUUGUAAACUCCUGUCAUUUGGGAACAAGUUGGACGCCGUAACUGCGCGUCCAUUGAUAGUACCAGAAGAGGAAGGGACGGCUAACUCUGUGCCAGCAGCCGCGGUAAUACAGAGGUCUCAAGCGUUGUUCGGAUUCAUUGGGCGUAAAGGGUGUGUAGGUGGCGCGCUAAGUCGGGUGUGAAAUUUCGGAGCUUAACUCCGAAACUGCAUUCGAUACUGGCGUGCUUGAGGACUGGAGAGGAGACUGGAAUUCAUGGUGUAGCAGUGAAAUGCGUAGAGAUCAUGAGGAAGACCAGUGGCGAAGGCGGGUCUCUGGACAGUUCCUGACACUGAGACACGAAGGCCAGGGGAGCAAACGGGAUUAGAUACCCUAGUAGUCC